This 57-nucleotide transfer RNA is filed under the name Capra hircus (goat). It matches the Rfam family "tRNA", at positions 8 to 63 of the family's 71-position model. From Rfam's summary of the family: Transfer RNA (tRNA) molecules are approximately 80 nucleotides in length. RNAcentral also lists the same sequence under 1 other name. Lineage: Eukaryota; Metazoa; Chordata; Mammalia; Artiodactyla; Bovidae. The record is from Rfam by way of RNAcentral.
UGGCUCAGAGGUUAAAGCGUCUGCCUGCAAUGCAGGAGACCUGGGUUUGAUUCCUGG